AGAAGAGGAGCGAGCACGGUGACGUAUGACUUCGCGGGUGCGCGCAUGUGGCCACAGUCGCGUCCACGUCGAGGUAAACAGUUACCUGGUAGAGUGGAGGACGGAGAGUGGAGGCAGUGGGAGACCCAAUGUUGGACUCCAUCCACCGCAAAAACAAAGAAUAUUGUUUCUCGAGUCUGCUUCCGCCUCAAAUGGUUAGUUGGGGAUUUCUCGUGUACUCACCCUUUAACCCUCGGAGAGGAUAUCCCAGAGGAUGAUGGUUGGGUUUGCGUGUGACCACAUAAGGAUCAACAACAUGAGUCUGGAGCUCUGCAAGCUCUCAUUGCCGCCUCCACUGUUUCCCCAAACUGAGGUGAUGUUGAAAGUUCACUCUGUCCAUUCUUCUACAUUGCAUUUCUGCAUUGUUUUACCCAUAAUUCAACAUCGUAAUCAUGAAAAUAAACAACAGGGCUGAUGA
Molecule: long non-coding RNA, 457 nt
Organism: Notolabrus celidotus (New Zealand spotty)
Lineage: Eukaryota; Metazoa; Chordata; Actinopteri; Labriformes; Labridae
Exons: 2
Source: RefSeq, a predicted model, not a curated record